GCGGACGGGUGAGUAACGCGUGGGUAACCUGCCCUGUACACACGGAUAACAUACCGAAAGGUAUGCUAAUACGAGAUAAAAUACUUUUAUCGCAUGGUAGAAGUAUCAAAGCUUUUGCGGUACAGGAUGGACCCGCGUCUGAUUAGCUAGUUGGUAAGGUAACGGCUUACCAAGGCGACGAUCAGUAGCCGACCUGAGAGGGUGAUCGGCCACAUUGGAACUGAGACACGGUCCAAACUCCUACGGGAGGCAGCAGUGGGGAAUAUUGCACAAUGGGCGAAAGCCUGAUGCAGCAACGCCGCGUGAGCGAUGAAGGCCUUCGGGUCGUAAAGCUCUGUCCUCAAGGAAGAUAAUGACGGUACUUGAGGAGGAAGCCCCGGCUAACUACGUGCCAGCAGCCGCGGUAAUACGUAGGGGGCUAGCGUUAUCCGGAAUUACUGGGCGUAAAGGGUGCGUAGGUGGUUUCUUAAGUCAGAGGUGAAAGGCUACGGCUCAACCGUAGUAAGCCUUUGAAACUGGGAAACUUGAGUGCAGGAGAGGAGAGUGGAAUUCCUAGUGUAGCGGUGAAAUGCGUAGAUAUUAGGAGGAACACCAGUUGCGAAGGCGGCUCUCUGGACUGUAACUGACACUGAGGCACGAAAGCGUGGGGAGCAAACAGGAUUAGAUACCCUGGUAGUCCACGCCGUAAACGAUGAGUACUAGCUGUCGGAGGUUACCCCCUUCGGUGGCGCAGCUAACGCAUUAAGUACUCCGCCUGGGAAGUACGCUCGCA
This 772-nucleotide ribosomal RNA is filed under the name uncultured bacterium. RNAcentral describes it as "bacterial SSU rRNA". It matches the Rfam family "Bacterial small subunit ribosomal RNA", at positions 98 to 890 of the family's 1533-position model. The record is from RNAcentral.